Molecule: ribosomal RNA, 572 nt
Filed under: uncultured Bacteroidota bacterium
Lineage: Bacteria; Pseudomonadati; Bacteroidota
Description: bacterial SSU rRNA
Rfam family: Bacterial small subunit ribosomal RNA
Source: RNAcentral
GAUGAGCAUGCGUCCCAUUAGCUAGUUGGUAAGGUAACGGCUUACCAAGGCAGCGAUGGGUAGGGGUCCUGAGAGGGAGAUCCCCCACACUGGUACUGAGACACGGACCAGACUCCUACGGGAGGCAGCAGUGAGGAAUAUUGGUCAAUGGGCGCAAGCCUGAACCAGCCAUGCCGCGUGCAGGAUGAAGCACCUAUGGUGUGUAAACUGCUUUUGUACGAGAAGAAACACUCCUACGUGUAGGAGCUUGACGGUAUCGUAAGAAUAAGGACCGGCUAACUCCGUGCCAGCAGCCGCGGUAAUACGGAGGGUCCAAGCGUUAUCCGGAAUCAUUGGGUUUAAAGGGUCCGUAGGCGGUUUUGUAAGUCAGUGGUGAAAGCCCAUCGCUCAACGGUGGAACGGCCAUUGAUACUGCAAGACUUGAAUUAUUGGGAAGUAACUAGAAUAUGUAGUGUAGCGGUGAGAUGCUUAGAGAUUACAUGGAAUACCAAUUGCGAAGGCAGGUUACUACCAAUAUAUUGACGCUGAUGGACGAAAGCGUGGGGAGCGAACAGGAUUAGAUACCCUGGUAG